AGAGUUUGAUCCUGGCUCAGAUUGAACGCUGGCGGCGUGCCUAACACAUGCAAGUCGAGCGGUAACAGGUGUAGCAAUACAUGCUGACGAGCGGCGGACGGGUGAGUAACGCUUGGGAAUCUGCCUGAUAGUGGGGGACAACCCGGGGAAACUCGGGCUAAUACCGCAUACGCACUACGGUGGAAAGCCGGGGACCGCAAGGCCUGGCGCUAACAGAUGAGCCCAAGUCGGAUUAGCUAGUUGGUAGGGUAACGGCCUACCAAGGCGACGAUCCGUAACUGGUCUGAGAGGACGACCAGUCACACCGGAACUGAGACACGGUCCGGACUCCUACGGGAGGCAGCAGUGGGGAAUAUUGGACAAUGGGCGAAAGCCUGAUCCAGCGACGCCGUGUGGGUGAAGAAGGCCUGCGGGUUGUAAAGCCCUUUCGGUGGGGAAGAAAAGCCUCGAGUUAACACCUCGGGGUCUUGACGUAACCCAUAGAAGAAGCACCGGCUAACUCUGUGCCAGCAGCCGCGGUAAUAC
RNAcentral lists this ribosomal RNA (525 nucleotides) under uncultured bacterium. RNAcentral describes it as "bacterial SSU rRNA". It matches the Rfam family "Bacterial small subunit ribosomal RNA", at positions 8 to 526 of the family's 1533-position model. The record is from RNAcentral.